Molecule: ribosomal RNA, 228 nt
Filed under: uncultured bacterium
Lineage: Bacteria
Description: partial 16S ribosomal RNA
Rfam family: Bacterial small subunit ribosomal RNA
Source: RNAcentral
CGGGUGAGUAAUGUAUGGGGAUCUGCCUGAUGGCGGGGGAUAACUACUGGAAACGGUAGCUAAUACCGCAUAACGUCGCAAGACCAAAGAGGGGGACCUCCGGGCCUCGCGCCAUCAGAUGAACCCAUAUGGGAUUAGCUUGUAGGUAAGGUAACGGCUUACCUAGGCGACGAUCCCUAGCUGGUCUGAGAGGAUGAUCAGCCACACUGGGACUGAGACACGGUCCAG